UACAGAGGGUGCAAGCGUUAAUCGGAGUUACUGGGCGUAAAGGGCGCGUAGGCGGUCAUGCAAGUGAGAUGUGAAAUCCCCGGGCUUAACCUGGGAACUGCAUUUUAGACUGUGUGACUGGAGUACUGUAGAGGGCAGUGGAAUUUCCGGUGUAGCGGUGAAAUGCGUAGAGAUCGGAAGGAACACCAGUGGCGAAGGCGACUGUCUGGACAGAUACUGACGCUGAGGCGCGAAAGCGUGGGGAGCAAACAGG
RNAcentral lists this ribosomal RNA (253 nucleotides) under uncultured bacterium. RNAcentral's name for it is "partial 16S ribosomal RNA". It matches the Rfam family "Bacterial small subunit ribosomal RNA", at positions 524 to 776 of the family's 1533-position model. The record is from RNAcentral.